Molecule: long non-coding RNA, 1343 nt
Organism: Carassius auratus (goldfish)
Lineage: Eukaryota; Metazoa; Chordata; Actinopteri; Cypriniformes; Cyprinidae
Exons: 2
Source: RefSeq, a predicted model, not a curated record
CCGAGAAAUUUGUGGAGUUCCUGGAGAAGGAGGAUUUAACCUCGACUCAGCCCGCCUUCACUCCCCAAGGUGCUAAGAAUCAAACAAGCGGCUCCCACACCAGAAGGUAUGCCUGGAAUGCCAGAUCCCCUCUCUUGGCUUCUGAAGAGGAUGUCAGAGAGAGGGGAAGAGCCACACGUUUCUGAGUGAGGACCCCUGGGGGAGUCUGAUUGGGGCCUGUGUACAUGAAAGUACGAACGGACGAUUCUUCUUAGUGCGCACGAGAUCAACAAGCUUGUUUGCUUUGCAGCCACUUUAAAUACAAAAUAAGCAUUCGAUCUACGUCAGAACGCUCUCGAAUCUUUCUGCAGUGUCGUGAGCAGAGCGGCAAGAGCGAUUUUUGACGCUCUCGACACCGGCGGUGUGAACGCACAAUGCUGGAGAAAAAACAGCGAGGCUAAAGCAUUCAAAGUGGAAACAUCUGCUGUGGCUCAUUAAUCCAGAAUUGGGAUGGAGGAAGGAGCAGAAGAAGCAGAAGAUCAGAGAUCAGGCAGAGAUCUAGUGGUGCCACUGUGGGAACCCAUUUACCUAAUCUGUUAGUUAAACCAAAGAUUUUCCUCACUCACUUUCAUGUUGUUCCAAGCCAGACUUUUUUUUUUAUAUAAAAUAACGCAUUCACACAAGCACCAUGAUGCAUCAGUGUUGCAUUAGCGUGAGCGUGAGAGCUGGCGCUUUUGUGAAAAUCCAUUGGGCAGUAAUAAUUUCUGAAUAGAUUAUUUUUGCUGUUGUUGUUUUUUGCGUACACAAGACAUCUGUUAAAAAAUAUCUUAAUUUGUGUUCUGCAACAUGGUUUGGGGCAACAUUAGGGUAAGUAAUUAAUGACAGAAUUUAAAUUUAUGGUUGUUCUAAUGUGGUUAUAAUUGUUCAUAGUUUAUUGUCUUGAAAAAUUAUAUUAAUACAGAAAGAUGGAUUAAUUUGAUAAGUUUAUAGUAAAGACUUUUAAAUUGAUUAAAAAAAAUCUAAAUAAAUACUACUCUUUUGCAAGGUCUAUUAAAAAAUACUGACAAAUGUAAUGGUUUCCACAAAAUAUUGGGCAGCACAACUGUUUUAAACAUUGAUAAUAAUCAGAAAUGUUUCUUGAGCAGCAAAUCAGUAUGUUAUAAUGAUUUCUGAAGAUCAUGUAACACUGAAGACUGGAGUAAUUGUGUUGUUUCUAUGCAUCCACAUAGAAAACAAUUAUUUCUGUAGUUAUAUUUCACAAAUCAAUAUUACUGUUUUUACGGUCUGUUUAAUCAAAGGAGGCUUAAAAUGUGAUCAAGAAUUUACAUGAAAGAUGUAAUGUGUCAAUAAAUGUGUCAAUAUAC